Molecule: long non-coding RNA, 785 nt
Filed under: Olea europaea (common olive)
Lineage: Eukaryota; Viridiplantae; Streptophyta; Magnoliopsida; Lamiales; Oleaceae
Description: long non-coding RNA (OEUR_LNC010584)
Source: RNAcentral
UCAAGUAUACAACGUAGAUAUAAGGUUUUGAUGAGGAUCUAAAAGUAAUUUGGACGAGGAGACGAGGUUGAUAGGAUUAGACAAAUUUGCACAGAAAUGGGUGAAUGAGAGAAGCAAAAUAGAAUAACUGAAGAGCACAAUUUCAUGGGCAAUAAAUUUCACCAAUCUCAAAAUUACUAUAAAUUAGUUCACACUGAAUUGGGAUUGCUUUGGUUAGAAGAAUUUGACCAUUUCUUGAGUUUGGGUUAUAGGGUCGAAUUCAUGGGUUGCUAAGCCCAAGAUCACAAGGGUCACUCAAUGGACAAAAAGGGUUACAAACGAGGCCCAGAUUUGGGGAAUAUAAAUUCUCAUUUGGGACUAUUUAACUCAAAGGUAUUCCCCAUUUAUUUCAGGGAAAAUUGAACCAUUGGUCCCUUCCUAUUGUUCCAUUAAGAAGUUGAUCCUCAACUUUUAAAAGAUUAAAAGUUAAUUGUCAACCUUUCAAUUGAAACGCGUACUUUGUUUCCAAUAUCAAAAAUGUCCAAAUCUCCACAAGUGACCUCCAAGAAACAUGCCCUACUACAAAUGACUAGGCAUUGAUCCAAGUUAAAAGUCGAAAUUUAAUCCUGUAAGGUUAGACAUGUCAGGAUCAAACAUGAUCUAACAUGUCAAACAUCAUUUUUAUCCACACAUUCAAUAAGAUCCGAAUCUUUUCCCCAGUUUUAUUCACUCAUUUCAUAUGAUCCAUUACUUAUAAUCUAAAAAAAGAACUACUUUACCAGACAUUAACUUCUAAUCUAACANNN